UAAAAAUAAAUUAAUAAAAUAAAUAUUUAAUAAAAAUAAUUUUAAUAAAAUAAUUUUAAUGGGGGUUAAAGUAUAUUUUAGAAAAAAUUUUUUUUUAUUAAUAGUAUAAUAGUAUUGUAGAAGAAUUUUGAAAUAUAUAAAAAAUAUAUUAGAUAAUAAGUAAAUUUUAUUUAUUGUAUCUUGUGUAUCAGAGUUUAUUUAAUAAUUAUUUUUAUAAAAAAUAUCUCGAAUUUAAAAGAGAUAAUUAAUUAGUAAAUUUAAUGUUGCAUAAUUAUUUUUAAUAAUUAAUUUGAAAUGAAAUGUUAAUCGUUUUUAAAUAUAUCUAGUUUUUUUAGAAAAAAAUUAAAUUUUUAAUUAAUUUUUAUUAUUUUUUAAUUUAUUAAAAAAAAAUAAGAUUAAUUAAAUAUUUUAAAGGAUAAGCUUUAAAUUAAAAUUUUAUAAUAUAUUUAUAUUUUUAAAUAAUUUUUUUAUAAAUCAUAAAAAUUUAUUUAUAUGUAUAAAUAAAAUUUUUAAAAAUUAUAUUUUUUAUAAAUUAUAAUUUUUUAUAAAUAAUUUUAUUUAAUUAAAAAUUUUAUAUAAAUUAAUUUAAUUUUUUAUAAAAAAAUAAUAUAUAAUAAUAUAGAAUUAGAAAUAAUGAUAAAAUUAGUAUAUUUUUAAUUAUGGUAUUAAAAUUUUUAUAAUUAAAAUAAAAGAAUUCGGCAAAAUUAUAUAUUCACCUGUUUAUCAAAAACAUGUCUUUUUGAGAAUAAUAUAAAGUCUAAUCUGCCCACUGAAUUAAUUUAAAGGGCUGCAGUAUAUUGACUGUACAAAGGUAGCAUAAUCAAUAGUCUUUUAAUUGGAGACUUGUAUGAAUGAUUUAAUGAAAUAUAAACUGUUUCUAUUUUAAAAUUAGAAUUUAAUUUUUUAGUUAAAAGGCUAAAAUAAAUAUAAAAGACGAGAAGACCCUAUAGAGUUUUAUAAUUAUUUAAUUAUAAUUUAUUUAUAAAAAUUAAUUAUUUUAAUUAAAUAAUUAUUUUGUUGGGGUGAUAGAAAAAUAAAAAUAACUUUUUUUUUUAUUAAACAUUAAUAUAUGAGUAUUUGAUCCAUAAUUUAUGAUUAUAAGAAUAAAUUACCUUAGGGAUAACAGCGUAAUUUUUUUUUUUAGUUCGGAUAAAAAAGAAAGUUUGCGACCUCGAUGUUGGAUUAAGAUAAAAUUUAAACGCAAAAGUUUAAAAUUUUUGAUCUGUUCGAUCAUUAAAAUCUUACAUGAUCUGAGUUCAAACCGGUGUAAGCCAGGUUGGUUUCUAUCUUUAUAUAAAUAAAAUAAUUUAGUACGAAAGGAUUAAUUAUUUUAAAUAAUUUAAUUUUUAAGAAUAUUAUUAAAUAUAAUU
Molecule: ribosomal RNA, 1370 nt
Filed under: Dercas lycorias (plain sulphur)
Lineage: Eukaryota; Metazoa; Arthropoda; Insecta; Lepidoptera; Pieridae
Description: 16S ribosomal RNA
Source: RNAcentral